CCUUUGACGUUAGCGGCGGACGGGUGAGUAACACGUGGGUAACCUACCUAUAAGACUGGGAUAACUUCGGGAAACCGGAGCUAAUACCGGAUAAUAUUUCGAACCGCAUGGUUCGAUAGUGAAAGGUGGUUCUGCUAUCACUUAUAGAUGGACCCGCGCCGUAUUAGCUAGUUGGUAAGGUAACGGCUUACCAAGGCGACGAUACGUAGCCGACCUGAGAGGGUGAUCGGCCACACUGGAACUGAGACACGGUCCAGACUCCUACGGGAGGCAGCAGGC
This 279-nucleotide ribosomal RNA is filed under the name uncultured Staphylococcus sp. RNAcentral describes it as "partial 16S ribosomal RNA". It matches the Rfam family "Bacterial small subunit ribosomal RNA", at positions 83 to 354 of the family's 1533-position model. The record is from RNAcentral. Lineage: Bacteria; Bacillati; Bacillota; Bacilli; Caryophanales; Staphylococcaceae.